Molecule: ribosomal RNA, 437 nt
Filed under: uncultured bacterium
Lineage: Bacteria
Description: SSU rRNA
Rfam family: Bacterial small subunit ribosomal RNA
Source: RNAcentral
AGAAUGAACGCUAGCGAUAUGCUUAACACAUGCAAGUUGAACGUUGUUUUCGAAUCAGAAUGAGAACAAAGUAGCGAACGGGUGCGUAACACGUGGGAAUCUGCCGAACAGUUUGGGCCAAAUCCCGAAUGAAUAAAAGCUAAAAAGCGCUGUUUGAUGAGCCCACGUAGUAUUAGGUAGUUGGUUAGGUAAAAGCUGACCAAGCCUACGAUGCUUAGCUGGUCUUUUCGGAUGAUCAGCCACACUGGGACUGAGACACGGCCCAGACUCCUAAGGGAGGCAGCAGUGGGGAAUCUUGGACAAUGGGCGAAAGCCUGAUCCGGCAAUAUGGCGUGAGUGAAGAAGGGCAACGCAGCUUGUAAAGCUCUUUCAUCGAGUGUGCGAUUGUGACAAGACUCGAAUAAGAAGCCCCGGCUAACCUCCGCGCCAGCAGCCGC